GGCGGACGGGUGAGUAACGCGUAGGAAUCUACCUAGUAGAAGGGGAUAGCCCGGGGAAACCCGGAUUAAUACCGUAUACCUCCUUUGGGAGAAAGAAGGCCUCUCUUUGAAGCUUUCGCUAUUAGAUGAGCCUGCGUAAGAUUAGCUUGUUGGUGAGGUAAAGGCUCACCAAGGCGACGAUCUUUAGCUGGUCUGAGAGGACGAUCAGCCACAUUGGGACUGAGACACGGCCCAGACUCCUACGGGAGGCAGCAGUGGGGAAUAUUGGACAAUGGGCGCAAGCCUGAUCCAGCCAUACCGCGUGUGUGAAGAAGGCCUUCGGGUUGUAAAGCACUUUAAGCAGGGAGAAAAAGUUAUAAGUUAAUACCUUAUAACCGUGAUGUUACCUGCAGAAUAAGCACCGGCUAAUUCCGUGCCAGCAGCCGCGGUAAUACGGAAGGUGCAAGCGUUAAUCGGAAUUACUGGGCGUAAAGCGCACGUAGGUGGUUUGUUAAGUUGGAUGUGAAAGCCCUGGGCUCAACCUAGGAACUGCAUCCAAAACUAACUCACUAGAGUACGAUAGAGGGAGGUAGAAUUCAUAGUGUAGCGGUGGAAUGCGUAGAUAUUAUGAAGAAUACCAGUGGCGAAGGCGGCCUCCUGGAUCUGUACUGACACUUGAGGUGCGAAAGCGUGGGUAGCGAACAGGAUUAGAUACCCUGGUAGUCCACGCCGUUAACGAUGACA
This 723-nucleotide ribosomal RNA is filed under the name uncultured marine bacterium. Its description in RNAcentral is "bacterial SSU rRNA". It matches the Rfam family "Bacterial small subunit ribosomal RNA", at positions 97 to 814 of the family's 1533-position model. The record is from RNAcentral.